AGUGGGGAAUAUUGGACAAUGGGGGAAACCCUGAUCCAGCGACGCCGCGUGUGUGAAGAAGGCCUGCGGGCUGUAAAGCACUUUUAGUGGGGAUGAAAAAUUCAGGGCUAAUAUCCCUGGGUCUUGACCUAACCCAAAGAAAAAGCACCGGCUAACUCUGUGCCAGCAGCCGCGGUAAUACAGAGGGUGCGAGCGUUAAUCGGAAUUACUGGGCGUAAAGCGUGCGUAGACGGUUCCGUAAGUCGGGUGUGAAAGCCCCGGGCUCAACCUGGGAAUUGCAUUCGAAACUGCAAGGCUAGGGUGCGGAAGAGGGAAGCGGAAUMUCCGGU
RNAcentral lists this ribosomal RNA (329 nucleotides) under uncultured Pseudomonadota bacterium. RNAcentral describes it as "bacterial SSU rRNA". It matches the Rfam family "Bacterial small subunit ribosomal RNA", at positions 353 to 674 of the family's 1533-position model. Lineage: Bacteria; Pseudomonadati; Pseudomonadota. The record is from RNAcentral.